UCUUAUUUGUUCUUGUUGAGGAUUUUCUUUUGACUCCUCCUUUGCUUCUUCGUUUUUAAUUUCCCUAAUUUUUGCUGGACUGAUUCAGAUUUGCAAUCCACAUGGAUGCCAAAAUUUUUGCCUAAGUCACUCAUCUUUGAUUUUUCGACUUAACGAACUUUCUUUCUUUUUCUUUUAAUUUCCCUAAUUUUGAUGGAUUGAUCCAGAUUUGCAAUCCACAGGGAUGCCCUAAUUUUUGCCUAAGUCACUCAUUUUUGAGUUUUCGACUUA
Molecule: long non-coding RNA, 270 nt
Filed under: Lathyrus oleraceus (garden pea)
Lineage: Eukaryota; Viridiplantae; Streptophyta; Magnoliopsida; Fabales; Fabaceae
Description: Pisum sativum (pea) long non-coding RNA (PSAT_LNC031284)
Source: RNAcentral